CACCAUGGAUCUAGGUGAGGACAGGCGCUCCUGCUUUCCCGCCCAAAUGUUGUAUUUUCCAAGCCUACCCUUGCCGGCCACGCCCCCAACCUGGGCCUAUAAAAACCGCCCCCCGCAGGCCCUAGCGGGCAGACACACUGAAGUCGCUAGACGUCUGAGGAACACAUCCGGGGAAGAAGACACAGGUGGCUGGUCAUCGAGAGCCCGCUGGGGGAAGAGCACACAGACAGGCACCGGCAGGCCAUUGACCAGCGGGACAAGGUGGGCUCAAUGUCAUCACAAGGGUGCUUAAGAGGGAAAGAGGAAGCCAUGAGGGUCAGAGUCAAAGGAAGACUUGAAGAUACUACACUGCGGACUUUACAGAUGAAGGAAGGGGCGAAAACCAAGAAUGUGGGAAGCCUCUAGAAGCUAGAGAAGGCAAGGAAACAAAUUUUCCACUAGAGCCUCCAGAAGGAACACAGCCCUGCUGACCCACUGUAAUGUCUGACCUCUAGAUGUGUAAGGGUAGUAAGACUGAAAGUCUCAGAAAGGCACUGUUACAUUCUUAUUCCACAACUAUGCAACUCGAAACUGGGGUCCUCAGCAGUGAGCGAGGGGUGAGAGAAGACACUGUAUAAACAUGGCACAUCCUCCUGGAAAGUCAACUUUACUCAAAGGUUCUUACACACAGUGACAGCUAGCAGAGUCUAAAAUGCUGACAUUAUGACUUAGAGAUGUGAUAAAGAGAAACAUCUACUGCAUUUUCUGUAAGUAAAUGUGGUGCCGGCAUUGAGAGAACAUACGUAAUCAGAUACCUGUUCUCCCUGAGUUUCUUAAUUUAAGCCUCGCGAUUCCUAAUUAGCAGUUAGAUUGCAUCCAUUGUUAUUUUGUCUUUGGUUAUCAAUGAUGAUCAACCUUUGCUAAACAAAGAUAUGUCAUCAUGCUGGGGACACUCAUGGAUUUUUUUUUUAAAGGUUUUAACAUUUGAUAAUAGGUUUUCCAAUAGCUUGAAGGGUAGCUUUUAACAUUUCUUUUCCAGCUGAAGUAUUUCCUGAGUUCUGUCCAAGCCCUCUGUAGUUAAAGAAAAGGCUUUUUGACACUGAAUAGACAAUGUUGUGGCUUUUUUUUUCCUUCUUCAGACAAAUGUGUAGGCAUUUAGACCGCCACGUUGUACUCUCGUAAUUGAGACACCUUGCAGAAAUGGCAAUUAAGGGUGACUCGUGUCAAAAAUAUUCAGGACAAAUUACAUUUUACUGAUUUUUAAAAACUUUCAAAGGUACUCUCUCCUCUUUCUUUCUCCUUUCUCUCUUCCUACCUCCCUCCCACCCGCUCCUCGUUUUUUCUUUUAAAUAUUAAGUAAACUGUUUGCAUUUUUACGUCUCAUCAAAGUUGUUCCAGGUUUUUUCUGGGUUUACUGAAACUUCAAAUUGACUACUCAGAUCAAAACAAUUAGUGAAGUCUAAGGUAUUCUUAAUUCCUGAAAUGAAAACAGAAUGGACGUUCAGGACGUUCUGUUUUGCUCUGGCUACCCGCUUGGCUUCUCGCUCAGAAUAUUCUUGCUCUCAAGUUAGUUCCAGUUCUGUUUAUUUUGUCCUGAGCUCAGUGAACUUUCCAAAGCCCUACUCUUCAAACAACACUUUUUUUCCCCCGCCCCGUGAGCUGGAGUUUAUUUUGUGCUCACCCUUCAUUCUGUGAGUUGUGAAUAAUUUUAACACAAAGAAAAAAAAAUCUCCUCCCGACCACGGAGAGAAGAGGGGAUUUUAGAAUAAAGAUAAAAAUUGCUGUUUUAGCCCCCAAAGCAAAGGACUUGGGAAAGAAGAGAAAAGGGGGGAAAAUAGAACAGCAAAGGAAAAAAAAAAAAAAA
Molecule: long non-coding RNA, 1843 nt
Filed under: Pan troglodytes (chimpanzee)
Lineage: Eukaryota; Metazoa; Chordata; Mammalia; Primates; Hominidae
Description: lincRNA
Source: RNAcentral